This 4369-nucleotide long non-coding RNA is filed under the name Mytilus galloprovincialis (Mediterranean mussel). The record is from RNAcentral. Lineage: Eukaryota; Metazoa; Mollusca; Bivalvia; Mytilida; Mytilidae.
CAUAUUUAAAAUUAUGUUUAUUAUUAUGUAUAGUGCACUGUAUAGUUUGUAAAAAUGUUUAUUGUGAAGUAUUGGAAAAAUUGUGAAACUUUGGAACUGUUUUUACAUGAGAUGUAUAUAUUCAGUCUUCAAUCAUUGUCAUGGCAAUGGAGGACAAUAGAAUAUUGCCAUGAAGAAACUGACUUUUUUAUAUAAAGAAAUAUCCAACAAAAGUGUUCAAUGAUAUCUAAAGAGAUGAAAGACUGAGAAAUACUAAAAGCUCAAAUUGAAGUUUUCUAUGAGAUUGGUGGAUUAAUUGCAUGAACAGUCGGACAACUGGCACACUCAUGCUAUAAGUAUAGCUUUUAAAAUAAAAUAAAGGACUUGUAUAAUAACAUUUAUGUUCUACAAAGAAGAAAUGCUUCUACAUAAUGUGCUAAAGAGAAGAUAUGUUCCUACAUAAUGCUCUAUAGUGAAGACAAAUGUUAUAUAGCACAGACAGAUGUUCCUAAGUUGCACGAAGUAUUCAGAAGACAGACAGAUUCCUUUUACAAUGAAGUAUCCAGAACACAUAGCUGAUCAGAUUUUCAGCUCUUCAUUUCAUAUUCUGAUGUUUUCUUGAGAAAAAACUAAGGUAUUAAUAAAUAGUCUGUAAAUAGUGUGUUAUUUUCACUGAAUAUGAAUUUUGAAUUUCAAGUGUCAAACCUGUUAGUCUGGAUUUAUUUUAUGAUGUUCUUGUUUUGGUUAUAUAUGCUUGAAAAUAUAUUUUUGUAUUGUUGAAUUUUAUAACUGGUUCAACGGGAAGCAAAGUUACACUAUAUAUUACUUCUGAUAAAUGCUUUUUGACUUUUCAUUGUCCUGUUUAUGAAAUCUAUAUAUUUUAUCUGAGUUAAUUGUAAGACAUAACAAAGCGGUUGUUUUUUUUGUUUUUUUGCAAGAUUCACAUGAUGUUUUUUUUUUGCAAGAUUCACAUGAAUUUUAUUUUACAAACUUAAAAAAAAAUUAUUGAAUGCAAACAAAGAGAAAUAAUUUAUCAAAUCAUGAAAAAAUAUUCCUAGUAACACAAAAAGUAACAACUUUGAGUGUAAGCUGUAAGCUUUCAUCUAAUUGCAAGUUAUAGAUCAUGGCCAAAUUUGAAGGAAAUUCUUUGAUCAAUGAGAAGAAUAACACUGAUGGAGAGAAAUAACAUAGACAACAGAAAUGUAUAAAACAAAUACCAUCUCGAUUAUGAAAAUAUGAGAUGUGGUAUGAAUUUGCCAAUUAAGACAACUUUACUUCAGUGACCACAUCAAAUCAAUUAGUUUCUUAUAGAAUUCAGAAAAAAACACUACAAAAAGCUAUAGAAUUAAAAAAAAACAACACUACAAAAAGCUAUAGAAUUAAAAAAACAACACUACAAAAAGCUAAUUUGAACAGUUACACUUACAGAUUAUUUCAAUUAAUUGUUCAGACAUGCCAUUCAUAAAAGGUGAAAUAUUUUAUUGCAGAUUAAUUGUUCAUAUUCUUCCUGAAAAGUGAAAUAUGUGAAAUUUAAGCUGGUGAAGAUCAUGAAUUGAGGAUUCUUUGCAAACUUGAUGACUUCAGAUUUCCUGUUCCACAACUUGUUCUAAAGAAAAUCCUAGGACUUUGGAGCAUAAGAUUAUAUAAUCUAGGUAUAAACACAUUACUUUAAACACAUACUAUUUAUUUAGAAAUAAUUGUUAUUUAUCAAUGUUGAAAAGGGGUAGAAAAUAAAUUAAUUAUUUCGUACAAAAACAAGGAUUGCCAAACAACACCUUUUACCUAGAAACUUUUUUCUGAGGUUCAGCAUUUUCAUAUUAUUCAAUCGAGCAAAAUGAAAUUUCCUUAAAAUGCCAACAAAUAAUCUUUUCAUGCUCGGAUAUUAAGGGUUGAUAAUGAUUCUGUCUUUGAUAAUAAUCACUUUAAUCAGAUGCCAUUUUGUUCUUCAGAUUGAUGCAGCAUUGAAUAUCUAAAGAGAAUGGACAAUAUUCUGAUUAAUUAAUGGUAAGUGUUUACAUGAAGAAAUCCAGUGGUUUGAUUGUGGUCAAUUAUGCAUAAUACCUGAAUAAAUACAUAAAUAAAACAAUUUUACAGCACUACAAUAGUAUUCAGCAUAUGCUUUCCAAUAUUUAAUUGAAGUCUAUUCCAAAAUUCCUAGCAAUAUCUUGUAAAUCUGUCACAAGUCUGGUAAGUUUUAACAAAUUGAUAGAAAUAUUUUUCUGGGUAAUUGUGACAUGUAUUGGGACCAAAUUAUGAGCUCAAAGUGAUCAGUUUUAUAAAGGUAUUCUCACUAUUACAAAGAACUGUAAAAUUCUCAAAAGGUAUAAAGUAUAUAUAAAUACUGUUCAUGCAAAUCAUCCCCAAAACUAUGAAAUAUUUUCCAUGUUUCAGAUGUACAAAAAAUUGUGCUACAAGUUCAAACCAGCAAAAUAAACUGAUGGGAGUUAAACAUAACACUGAAUCUUACUUCAUACAAGGUUGGUAUUCUUUAACUUCCUUAGGAAAUUAAUUAUCCGUCCAUCUGAUGUCACAAUGUUCUGAUAAAAAUAAGAUGAUGUGGUAUGGAUGCUGAUGAGACGACUCUCUACCAGAGACCAAAUAAUGUAGAAGUUAGCUACUAUAUCUUUCAUAGUGUCAAUAAGACAGAGCUGCUUAUAAAUUAGCUGUUUGACUUGUUCAACUUGUGAAUAUGAUGUACUGGAAAAUAACCUGUUGAUUAAAGUAAAUGUACUUUUGUUGUUGUUCUUCAUCAUAACAGAUAGUUGCUGCAGUGUUUUCAGCUAUGAACUAUGAACCCUAUGGUCAACUUGAACAGUAAAUGUUCAAUAAUGGUAACAUUACUUCAACUGCAUUAAAUAUUUUCUCGUACACCUCACGUUGUAUUCAUAUCUGCAUGGCUUUAUUGAGACUUUGAUAUACUAAGCCUGCUUUUAGGGGACAACAUCAAGGGAAAUAUUUCUAUGGUGUUGUAAUUAAGUCUUCAGAACAGUACUGUACUGAUCAUGAUUGCUGUAAAACUUUUUUUCAAGGUUCAAGUUGUGUAUCCAUUCUCCUUUUAAAUUUGUAUUAUCCAAUUGAAUUAACUAAUUAAAUUGUUGUUUGUAGUGAGGAGGAACAAUUGAACUGAUGAACUUACAAAUAUAUGAAAGAAAGAAAAACAGACCACAUAGCAUAAGGAAAGAGACAGAUUAAAUCAUAGAGUAAAUGGAAAAAGAAACUAGCAACACUCUGAAAUUAACAAGAGAAAUAAUCACCAAUACAGACAGAGGUUAGGUCUCUGACAGUCUCAACGGAUGAUCAUAUAAACAUCUGAAGGUUAUACAAUAUGAGAAUAACAGAACACAUGGAAUAAGGAAGAGAAAAAUUAACUUGUAGACUAAAGGGUAGAUGAUAUUAGAAAAAUACUGAAAUUAACAAGAGAAACAAUCAACAUAGCAGCUACCUUAUCACUGACUCAACUGAUGAACAUAGAACAAACUUUAACAUAUUAUUAACAGCAUAGAAAAACAAUCAACACGUCCAAGACUUAUAUUCUUGUCAAUUAAAUAUGAAUGAAUUUUCAUAAUAGUAUAUGGUCAGCGGGAGAGAGAGAAAGAUAUAGAAUGGUCAGAGAGGGAGAGGAAGAACACUUAUAAUGAUGAGUUGGGAGAGAGAUGAAACAAAUAUUGCAACUUGUAAAUUUGUCUUCAACCAAAACACAUGGCUUGUGUUGAUGUGUCUAACCUUAGACAUCUGAUAUUUUUAUUAUCUAGAGCUCUGUUAAAAAACAAUGUGAAAAAUAACAUGAAAACAAAAUUCAAACAGAGUUCUAGAUCAUAAACAGUAAGGGUGGUGUAAAAAGUGGGCAUAUUUAAAAUUUUUUUUUUUUUUCACCAAUAUAUUUAUGAAAUUUAAAACUUAUAAUUGAGAAUGUUUAAUUAUACGUACAAUUCUUUUGAUUUUAGAUAUUUGGAGAUGAAACCUAUUCUUCUCUAUUUAUUGUACUCUAAUAGUGUCAUAAAUUUGCAAUAUUCUUAUCCAUGCUUACACCUUGAACCUUAGACAUCCAAUAUUUUUAUUACCUAGAACUCUUUAAAAAAAAUAAAAAUGACAAAAAAUAAUAUGAAAACAAAUUGUAAACAGAGUUCUAGAUAAUAAACAUUAAGGAUGGUGUAAAUAGUGAGUAUGCUUCAAAAUUCACACCCAACCCCACCCCAAAUAUAUUUAUGAAAUUAAAUACAACAUAUAUUAUUGUGAAUGAUUUGUGUUCGAUAAGUUUUUUCCUUUCAUUAGUUAUAUAUAUUAAAUUGAUUGGCAACCUGUACAUUUUUCUUAUGUAUUGAAAGUGGCUUUAAAGUUUACAUGUUUAAUCGGAAGUAGAAUUCUUUUAAUAUUAGAUAUUAGAGACAAA